AUACUUACCUGGCAGGGGAGAUACCAUGAUCACAAAGGUGGUUUUCCCAGGGCGAGGCUUAUCCAUUGCACUCCAGGUGUGCUGACCCCUGUGAAUUCCCCAAAUGUGGGAAACUCAAAUGCACAAUUUGUGGUAGUGGGGGACUGCAUUCGUACUCUCCUCUG
This 164-nucleotide small nuclear RNA is filed under the name Castor canadensis (American beaver). Its description in RNAcentral is "U1 spliceosomal RNA (ENSCCNG00000007682.1)". It matches the Rfam family "U1 spliceosomal RNA". Rfam says of the family: U1 is a small nuclear RNA (snRNA) component of the spliceosome (involved in pre-mRNA splicing). Lineage: Eukaryota; Metazoa; Chordata; Mammalia; Rodentia; Castoridae. The record is from Rfam by way of RNAcentral.